AUUGAACGCUGGCGGCAUGCCUUACACAUGCAAGUCGAACGGCAGCGGGCCCUUCGGGGUGCCGGCGAGUGGCGAACGGGUGAGUAAUGCAUCGGAACGUACCCGGGAGAGGGGGAUAACCGGCCGAAAGGCUGGCUAAUACCGCAUGAACUCGGAAGAGCAAAGCGGGGGACCUUCGGGCCUCGCGCUCUCGGAGCGGCCGAUGUCCGAUUAGACUAGUUGGUGGGGUAAAGGCCCACCAAGGCGACGAUCGGUAGCGGGUCUGAGAGGACGAUCCGCCACACUGGGACUGAGACACGGCCCAGACUCCUACGGGAGGCAGCAGUGGGGAAUCUUGGACAAUGGGCGCAAGCCUGAUCCAGCAAUGCCGCGUGGGUGAAGAAGGCCUUCGGGUUGUAAAGCCCUUUCGGCGGGGAAGAAAUCGGUCAGGCGAAUAGUCUGGCCGGAUGACGGUACCCGCAGAAGAAGCACCGGCUAACUACGUG
Molecule: ribosomal RNA, 485 nt
Filed under: uncultured bacterium
Lineage: Bacteria
Description: partial 16S ribosomal RNA
Rfam family: Bacterial small subunit ribosomal RNA
Source: RNAcentral